UUAAAGAAAAGAAACUGGAGAAUUACAAAGGAGGAGAGAUGUUUGAGACCGUAUUUGCUGGCCGCUAUAUAAUUCUGUUGAUGGGACUGUUUUCAAUCUAUACUGGCCUUAUAUACAAUGACUGCUUUUCAAAGUCAUUCAACAUCUUUGGCACUGCAUGGGAUCUUAGUGUAGAUUGGGAUGGCAUCAG
Molecule: long non-coding RNA, 190 nt
Organism: Orbicella faveolata
Lineage: Eukaryota; Metazoa; Cnidaria; Anthozoa; Scleractinia; Merulinidae
Source: RefSeq, a predicted model, not a curated record